This 502-nucleotide ribosomal RNA is filed under the name Ancylomenes pedersoni. Its description in RNAcentral is "partial 16S ribosomal RNA". It matches the Rfam family "Archaeal large subunit ribosomal RNA", at positions 1990 to 2696 of the family's 2987-position model. Lineage: Eukaryota; Metazoa; Arthropoda; Malacostraca; Decapoda; Palaemonidae. The record is from RNAcentral.
ACUUGAUAUAUAAUUAAAGGGCCGCGGUAAUUUGMCCGUGCGAASGUAGCAUAAUCAUUAGUCUUUUAAUUGGAGGCUUGAAUGAAAGGUUGGAUGAGGAACUAGCUGUCUUUUUUUAUUUAAAGAAUUUAACUUUUAAGUGAAAAGGCUUAAAUAUACUAGUGGGACGAUAAGACCCUAUAAAACUUAAUAUAAAUUGAAGAGAAUUUAAGGAUUUAGUUUAAUUUAAUUUUUUUUAGUUUAUAUUUUGUUGGGGAGACGAUGAUAUAAUUUUAACUGUCUUUUUUAUAUAAUAGUAAUAAUUAGAUUUUGAUCCUUUAUUAAAGAUUUUAAGAUAAGUUACUUUAGGGAUAACAGCGUAAUUUUCUUUGAGAGUUCUUAUCGACAAGAGUAGUUGCGACCUCGAUGUUGAAUUAAAGUUUCUGGUACGGUGUAGCCGCUUGCCUCGUGGGUCUGUUCGACCUAUAAUKCUWUACAUGAUUUGAGUUCAGACCGGCGCCAG